This 483-nucleotide ribosomal RNA is filed under the name uncultured bacterium. RNAcentral describes it as "partial 16S ribosomal RNA". It matches the Rfam family "Bacterial small subunit ribosomal RNA", at positions 28 to 507 of the family's 1533-position model. The record is from RNAcentral.
GACGAACGCUGGCGGCGUGCUUAACACAUGCAAGUCGAACGCUGAAGCUCAGCUUUUGUUGGGUGGAUGAGUGGCGAACGGGUGAGUAACACGUGAGUAACCUGCCUCCUUCUUUGGGAUAACGCCCGGAAACGGGUGCUAAUACUGGAUAUUCACUGGUCUUCGCAUGGGGGUUGGUGGAAAGGGUUUUUCUGGUGGGGGAUGGGCUCGCGGCCUAUCAGCUUGUUGGUGGGGUGAUGGCCUACCAAGGCUUUGACGGGUAGCCGGCCUGAGAGGGUGACCGGUAACAUUGGGACGGAGAUAAGGCCCAGACUCCUACGGGGGGGAGCAGUGGGGAAUAUUGCACAAUGGGUGCAAGCCUGAUGCAGCGACGCCGCGUGAGGGAUGGAGGCCUUCGGGUUGUGAACCUCUUUCGCUCAUGGUCAAGCCGCAACAAUGGUUGUGGUGAGGGUAGUGGGUAAAGAAGCGCCGGCUAACUACGUG